RNAcentral lists this ribosomal RNA (253 nucleotides) under Symbiodinium sp. clade D. RNAcentral's name for it is "partial Bacterial small subunit ribosomal RNA". It matches the Rfam family "Bacterial small subunit ribosomal RNA", at positions 1 to 263 of the family's 1533-position model. Lineage: Eukaryota; Dinophyceae; Suessiales; Symbiodiniaceae. The record is from RNAcentral.
UUGAGAGUUUGAUCCUGGCUCAGAACUAACGCUGGCGGCGCGUCUUAAACAUGCAAGUCGAACGGUAACACUUCGGGUGACGAGUGGCAAACGGGUGAGUAACACGUAGGUAAUUUGCCCUGGAGCGGGGGACAACUUCGGGAAACUGGAGCUAAUACCGCAUACGAUCAUUUUUUCCACGGAAGGAAUGAUGAAAGCCUUCGGGCACUCCAGGAUAAGCCUGCGGUCAAUUAGCUUGUUGGUGAGGUAAUGG